RNAcentral lists this non-coding RNA (30 nucleotides) under Homo sapiens (human). The record is from RNAcentral. Lineage: Eukaryota; Metazoa; Chordata; Mammalia; Primates; Hominidae.
UUCACACAUGUAUUGUUCACUGAACAGCUA